CUCCCCCUCACGGACUGUCCAUGGCUGCUGUGGACUCAUUGGGUGGCUCUCUGAGGCCUCUGUCCCCACGAUAUUCCAGCUCCUCAUCCUGGUGAAGGAAGCAAGGACUCGGGAGUGGACAAGCUACCAGGUCUCCAGGACUGAAGGUUAUCAUCUAAGUUGGUGUUCUCAACUGGAGGCGAUUUACCCCCCACCCAGGAGACAGUUGGCAAUGUCUGGAGGAAAUCUCUUGCCGGAAGCCGUGCCACAGAGCACACAGGCAGUUUGCAGAGAAGGAUGCAACCCACACCAUGUCCGAAGCGGGCUCUGGGGAAGAAUCUGAGAUGACACCCCGGGAUUGCCACGGGAAAAAUUGCCAUGUCUGUGUGAUAUCAAAUAGUCUGAUCAAGUCAGCAAAUAAGAAAUGUCAAUCACUCAGGUUUUGUCGUUGGCACAAGGAAAUCAAAACAAUGGGGUGAUUCAAUAUCU
This is a long non-coding RNA of Homo sapiens (human), 468 nucleotides long. RefSeq lists it as uncharacterized. Lineage: Eukaryota; Metazoa; Chordata; Mammalia; Primates; Hominidae. The record is from RefSeq and is marked validated. The transcript has 4 exons.